This 414-nucleotide long non-coding RNA is filed under the name Bos taurus (domestic cattle). RNAcentral describes it as "long non-coding RNA NONBTAT004254". The record is from RNAcentral. Lineage: Eukaryota; Metazoa; Chordata; Mammalia; Artiodactyla; Bovidae.
ACUCCGGACUAUUCUUGUGCCUUUUGGACUAAAUAUAAUGCGAGUUUGUUCUGCUCAAUAGUUCAUAUUCUAAUACUUAUGUGCAGGUUUAAGUUUAAAUUUCUAGGGUCUCACGCCUCCGGAUUCACCAAAAAGGUAACGCUCGAGUAAACAAGUGGGGCGUUCUAGCUACUGGUGCAACUGCGCCCCCUGCCGGCACUGGGCCGGCAAGCCGGCCUCAUCAGGCGGCCUCUCCCGCUUCCCCCAGCACAGCGCAUACUUUAGCCGUUCCCCUCUUUUGCAGCUUUCCAACCAAGCCAAACUGGCUUAGCGCUGCCCCGAGCUAAGCACAAGUGCACUUAGCGCUGAGCAUCUAAGGUAAAUCAAAGCCUCGCAGCCUUAAAGUAUCACGGUCUAUCGGGGCACACCCGAAGC